AUGGCCUGGGCCAUUCUCCUCGCAGUACUUGCCCACAGCUCAGGUUCCCUGGUCCAGGCAGCACCAAGUCAGCCAUCCUCACUGUCAGCCAAGGUGGGAGACACCGUCAGGAUCACCUGCUCCGGGAUUAGCAGCUGGGGCUAUGCUGGCUGGCAUCAGCAGAAGGUCCCUGGCAGUGCCCCUGUCACUGUGAUCUACAACAGCAACAGCAGACCCUCGGACAUCCCUUCGCGAUUCUCCGGAUCCAAGUCCGGCUCCACGGGCACGUUAACCAUCACUGGGGUCCAAGCCGAGGACGAGGCUGUCUAUUUCUGUGGUAGCAUAGACAGCAGCAGUGAUGCUGCACAGUGACACAGAACAAUGGGGAAGCGAUACAAAAGCCUCCCACCUGAGCUGUCUCUUAA
Non-coding RNA from Vidua chalybeata, 404 nucleotides. Lineage: Eukaryota; Metazoa; Chordata; Aves; Passeriformes; Viduidae. The record is from the annotation of a RefSeq genome assembly.